This 66-nucleotide transfer RNA is filed under the name Typhlatya miravetensis. RNAcentral describes it as "tRNA-Asp". The record is from RNAcentral. Lineage: Eukaryota; Metazoa; Arthropoda; Malacostraca; Decapoda; Atyidae.
UAAAAAUUAGUUAAUUUAUAACGUAAGCUUGUCAAGCUUAAAUUAUUAGAAACCUAAUAUUUUUAA